CAGCCGCCACGGGAAUACAGAGGGUGAAAGCGUUAAUCGGAAUUACUGGGCGUAAAGCGCGCGUAGGUGGUUUGUUAAGUUGGAUGUGAAAGCCCCGGGCUCAACCUGGGAACUGCAUCCAAAACUGGCAAGCUAGAGUACGGUAGAGGGUGGUGGAAUUUCCUGUGUAGCGGUGAAAUGCGUAGAUAUAGGAAGGAACACCAGUGGCGAAGGCGACCACCUGGACUGAUACUGACACUGAGGUGCGAAAGCGUGGGGAGCAAACAGGAUUAGAUACCCGGGUAGUCCCUGUCUCUUAUAC
This 301-nucleotide ribosomal RNA is filed under the name uncultured bacterium. RNAcentral's name for it is "partial 16S ribosomal RNA". It matches the Rfam family "Bacterial small subunit ribosomal RNA", at positions 509 to 807 of the family's 1533-position model. The record is from RNAcentral.